AGGCUAGUAGCUCCAAUCUGGUAGAGCGUCGGAUUCCAAAUCCGAAUGUUGGGGGUUCGAGUCCCUCCUGGCCUG
This 75-nucleotide transfer RNA is filed under the name Planctomycetota bacterium. Its description in RNAcentral is "tRNA-Trp". It matches the Rfam family "tRNA". From Rfam's summary of the family: Transfer RNA (tRNA) molecules are approximately 80 nucleotides in length. Their secondary structure includes four short double-helical elements and three loops (D, anti-codon, and T loops). The record is from RNAcentral. Lineage: Bacteria; Pseudomonadati; Planctomycetota.